Molecule: transfer RNA, 69 nt
Filed under: Marmota monax (woodchuck)
Lineage: Eukaryota; Metazoa; Chordata; Mammalia; Rodentia; Sciuridae
Rfam family: tRNA
About the family: Transfer RNA (tRNA) molecules are approximately 80 nucleotides in length. Their secondary structure includes four short double-helical elements and three loops (D, anti-codon, and T loops).
Source: Rfam by way of RNAcentral
GGAGUUGUGGCUCAGUGCUACAGCACUUGCCUCUCAUGCAUGAGGCACUGGGUUUGAUCCCCAACACCA